RNAcentral lists this ribosomal RNA (253 nucleotides) under uncultured bacterium. RNAcentral's name for it is "partial 16S ribosomal RNA". It matches the Rfam family "Bacterial small subunit ribosomal RNA", at positions 524 to 776 of the family's 1533-position model. The record is from RNAcentral.
UACGUAGGGUCCGAGCGUUGUCCGGAAUUAUUGGGCGUAAAGGGCGCGUAGGCGGCCCGGUAAGUCAAAGGUGAAAUCCCUCGGCUCAACUGAGGAACUGCCUUUGAAACUGUCGGGCUUGAGGCCGGGAGGGGGUAGCGGAAUUCCCAGUGUAGCGGUGAAAUGCGUAGAUAUUGGGAGGAACACCGGUGGCGAAGGCGGCUACCUGGACCGGUUCUGACGCUGAUGCGCGAAAGCGUGGGUAGCAAACAGG